GCCGUUGUAGCUCAGUCGGUAGAGCACUUGAUUCGUAAUCAAUAGGUCCGCGGUUCGAUUCCGCGCAACGGCA
Transfer RNA from Legionella feeleii, 73 nucleotides. It matches the Rfam family "tRNA". Rfam says of the family: Transfer RNA (tRNA) molecules are approximately 80 nucleotides in length. Their secondary structure includes four short double-helical elements and three loops (D, anti-codon, and T loops). NCBI's taxonomy places the organism in Bacteria, Pseudomonadati, Pseudomonadota, Gammaproteobacteria, Legionellales, Legionellaceae. The record is from Rfam.